Long non-coding RNA from Serinus canaria (Common canary), 2249 nucleotides. RefSeq lists it as uncharacterized. The transcript is spliced from 3 exons. NCBI's taxonomy places the organism in Eukaryota, Metazoa, Chordata, Aves, Passeriformes, Fringillidae. The record is from RefSeq and is a predicted model, not a curated record.
UUUUGUUUUAAAGGAUUUGUUCAGGAAUUGUGUAUCCUGAAACAGCAACAGUUUGUGCAUAUAAGGAACUGCCGUGAGUCCCAAGACAUUCUCCUGAGCUGUCACUUUCAUGAUCCUGGCUAUUCGGGACUUUGAGGUGGCAUACAAUGACCUAAGCCACUAUGGCAAGGGCUAAUACUGCUUUUCUCAGCUGAAACUAUGUGACGCUUUCUUUUUUUUUUUUUCCUUUUGAUUUUUUACCCCCUUUUGAUUUGCAGUUACCUGAAGUGCUUGCAAUAAGGCUUAUCAGAACAAUGUCUGGGUGAAAGCAGUAGGACACUGUACAGUGUGUGGCAAGGGGAGAUGCUCCAGCCUUUUAAUCAACUUGGUGUUCCUCCUCUGGACUUGCCCCAACAGGUCAAUGUCCUUCCUGUGCUCAUGACCCAGAGCUGGAUGCCGUACUCCAGGACUGCAGCACUGUUGGAAGAUCCAGCUGGUGAAAGCCAUCUAAGCCCCUGAUGCAGUGAAACUUGUGAUUAGGAUGCCAUUAAAGCAUGUCCUGCCUGCCAUGACGGUUUGCCAGCCGAAACAUCAGGCCUUGAGCAUCUCAAGGUGCCCCUUCAUAGCCACGUUCCUCGGGCACGUCCCCAGGCCUGAUCUGCUCUUAUCUGUAGAAAAUGUGGAGACGGCGACAGCGCUUGAAAUGUUUCCUGGGAGCUGUUAGAGCCCUGGAAUGUGGCACUUCCACGAGCAGAUCGCCACCACGUGGCUUUUUCUGCUGCCUGCACCCGCGGCUGCUCAGCCAAACCCUGCUCUUUGUCCAUGCACCGUGCUGCUGUGGAGCACUUUUCUGUUUUAAGGAAGAAUUUAUGUAGGAAUUGCAUACCCUGAAGUAACAACACUUGGUGUGUGUAGGGAGACCUUGGAAGAGCUGCCAUGACUCCCAAGAGAGUCUCCUAAGAUGAGGUAUCAAUUUGUUUGGAGUUUAACCUCAAGCUUCCCCUCAAAGCAUUUAGGCAGGGCAGAAAUGGGAGAUAUAUGCUGAGACCUUAACUCGCAAGAGCUUUGCAGGAAUGUGGAAGCGCUUUCUGGCACUCGAGGGGUCUGGCUUGGGUAUGUGUGAUCGGCUUUGGCACAUGAUGUGUGACAGAGUGGCACAACUCCUCUUCAACAGAGUAUUUUGGCAUGGAGGGAUGGGUAACCUCUGGGAAGCGGACAGGGGGAUGCCACGGAAACUUGUCUGAUGUGGGAGACCAAAGGGUUCCCUUGCAGGCUGUGUUUCUGUCCAUUCUGUAGUCUAAAGCUAUCUCAUGGGCUCUACAUCAUCUCCAGCUAACCACAGGCAAACCAUUUGCCCCCUGUAAGCCAGCUGGCAUUUCCUAAUUCAUAUGGAAAUCCUCAUUGUCCAGGAGCAUGAACAGCAGUUCUUGGCAUGUAUUGUCCCCUAAUAGCAGCCAGAGCUGCAGGAACCUGAGAACUCCCCCAGAACCUUGCAGUGGAUGCCGUUCACACUUGGGAAAGGUGGGUCAGGCAGUACAGCUCCACAUGGAGGAAAAGUGAGAUGGCUUCUCUACAUCAGGCCUUCUACAGGUGACAGUGGUGUGUGUACUGAUGUACUACAGUCAGCUGCAAGGGAUGGGACAGUGCUUGUAUUGCCAGGUGUGAAAAAUGCGUAUUUUAUGACUGGUUCUUCACAAAUAUUAAAAUGAAUAUUAUAUGUGUUACGUUAGAAAGUUAUGCUGUAUUAAUUUUUUUAGUAGUGUGUUAAAUAUAGUUUUAGGUUAUAACAUAAUGUUAAAAUAGAAAUUAUGCUAUGUAAGAUACUUUUUUUAAAGAGAGGACUCGCACUGAAAUAGCAGCUGCAGGACACCUAAAUCUUUCAGAGAAAAAGAAUUUAUUGCUCUCUUAUCAGAAGAAACGAACAUCUGCCCACCUCGCUCAGCCCUGAAGAUGCCUCAGGAUGAAGAGGAAGAAGUUGACACUGACCAGACAGAAUGCUUUGUUUGAAUGGAAUUUAUGCAUCAAGUAUGAGAUAUAUGAACAGGCUAUUACUUUUAAUGGUUAAUCCUCUGUUAACGUGUGUCCUUUUUGGGGCUUAUUUUGCCCAGAAAGAGGUACCCGGACCAUCUGUAACUCUUAGUUCUUAUUGUCUCAUAUUGUCCUAAUCCAAACUGUCCAAAUUUUUUACUACUAUAAUUAUAUUUCUAUUUUUAUAACCAUUUUAUUACUAUUAAACUUUUAAAAUUUUAAAAACAAGUGAUUGGCGCUUU